RNAcentral lists this unclassified non-coding RNA (153 nucleotides) under uncultured Xylariales. Its description in RNAcentral is "sequence contains ITS2". The record is from RNAcentral. Lineage: Eukaryota; Fungi; Ascomycota; Sordariomycetes; Xylariales.
CGACCCUUAAGCCUAGUUGCUUAGUGUUGGGGGCUUCAGUUAUCCUGAACCUCUGAAAUCUAGUGGCGGAGUUGUUGCACACUCUGAGCGUAGUAGAUUUAUCUCGCUUUUGUAGUUGCCUCGACCUCGGCCGUUAAACCCCCUAUUUUAGAA